GCCCACUGUAGCUCAGCGGUUAGAGCGCUCCACUUAUUCUUAGGACUAUUGUUAGGAGAGGGCCGCGGUUCGAAUCCGCGCAGGGGCA
RNAcentral lists this transfer RNA (88 nucleotides) under Aspergillus carbonarius ITEM 5010. RNAcentral's name for it is "tRNA-Ile". It matches the Rfam family "tRNA". From Rfam's summary of the family: Transfer RNA (tRNA) molecules are approximately 80 nucleotides in length. Their secondary structure includes four short double-helical elements and three loops (D, anti-codon, and T loops). The record is from RNAcentral. Lineage: Eukaryota; Fungi; Ascomycota; Eurotiomycetes; Eurotiales; Aspergillaceae.